Molecule: non-coding RNA, 591 nt
Organism: Lemur catta (Ring-tailed lemur)
Lineage: Eukaryota; Metazoa; Chordata; Mammalia; Primates; Lemuridae
Source: the annotation of a RefSeq genome assembly
AUGGCCUGGGCUCCGCUCAUCCUCAUGUUCCUCUCUCACUGCACAGGUUCCCUGUCCCAGCCUGUGCUGACCCAGCCGCCCUCCCUCUCUGCAUCUCCUGGAGCCUCUGUCAGACUCACCUGCACCUUGAGCAGUGGCUUCAGUGUUGGUAACUUCUGGAUACACUGGCACCAGCAGAAGCCAGGGAGCCCUCCCCGGUACCUGCUGUACUACCACUCAGACGCAGAUAAGCACCAGGGCUCCAGGGUCCCCAGCCGCUUCUCUGGUUCCAAAGAUGCCUCGGCCAACGCAGGGAUCCUGCACAUCUCUGGGCUGCAGCCUGAGGACGAGGCUGACUACUACUGUCUUACAUGGCAUGGCAGCUCUAGGACUUGUAUAGUGCUACGGAGGAUCCUGCCCUGUGCUCACAGGUCUCUGGACUUCGCCCUGCUGGUCCAGCCUCCUGCAGGGUCCAGGCCACCAGGACAGAAAACCAUCUACUGCUCUGGAAGACAUAACAGUACUGGGCUCUGUGCCGGCAGUGAUGUGAACCCUGUGCCCUUCCAGGGGCCUGCACUCAGUCUGUGCUCACUCAGCUUCCCCAUCAUCUGA